UGUUGAAACACCAGUUCCUAUAUGAUAACCAAAGUUAAGCAACAUCGAGCCCAGUCAGUACCUAGAUGGGUGACUGCUUAGGAAUACUAGGUGCUGUAAG
RNAcentral lists this ribosomal RNA (100 nucleotides) under Acanthosepion pharaonis. Lineage: Eukaryota; Metazoa; Mollusca; Cephalopoda; Sepiida; Sepiidae. The record is from RNAcentral.